AUGAACGCUAGCGGCAGGCUUAACACAUGCAAGUCGAGGGGUAACAUUGUAGCUUGCUACAGAUGACGACCGGCGCACGGGUGCGUAACGCGUAUAGAACCUACCUUUUACAGAGGGAUAGCCUUUAGAAAUGAAGAUUAAUACCUUAUAGUAUUGAGACUUGGCAUCAAGUUUUAAUUAAAGAUUUAUCGGUAAAAGAUGGCUAUGCGUCCUAUUAGUUAGUUGGUAAGGUAACGGCUUACCAAGACAUCGAUAGGUAGGGGUCCUGAGAGGGAGAUCCCCCACACUGGUACUGAGACACGGACCAGACUCCUACGGGAGGCAGCAGUGAGGAAUAUUGGACAAUGGAGGCAACUCUGAUCCAGCCAUGCCGCGUGUAGGAAGAAUGCCCUAUGGGUUGUAAACUACUUUUAUACAGGAAGAAACACUGGUAUGUAUACCAGCUUGACGGUACUGUAAGAAUAAGGACCGGCUAACUCCGUGCCAGCAGCCGCGGUAAUACGGAGGGUCCGAGCGUUAUCCGGAAUCAUUGGGUUUAAAGGGUCCGCAGGCGGUCUAUUAAGUCAGAGGUGAAAUCCCAUAGCUCAACUAUGGAACUGCCUUUGAUACUGGUUGACUUGAGUCAUAUGGAAGUGGAUAGAAUGUGUAGUGUAGCGGUGAAAUGCAUAGAUAUUACACAGAAUACCGAUUGCGAAGGCAGUCCACUACGUAUGUACUGACGCUGAGGGACGAAAGCGUGGGGAGCGAACAGGAUUAGAUACCCUGGUAGUCCACGCCGUAAACGAUGGAUACUAGUUGUUGGGAUUUAUCUCAGUGACUAAGCGAAAGUGAUAAGUAUCCCACCUGGGGAGUACGGUCGCAAGACUGAAACUCAAAGGAAUUGACGGGGGCCCGCACAAGCGGUGGAGCAUGUGGUUUAAUUCGAUGAUACGCGAGGAACCUUACCAGGGCUUAAAUGUAGUCUGACAGCUUUAGAGAUAGAGUUUUCUUCGGACAGAUUACAAGGUGCUGCAUGGUUGUCGUCAGCUCGUGCCGUGAGGUGUCAGGUUAAGUCCUAUAACGAGCGCAACCCCUGUCGUUAGUUGCCAGCAUGUAAAGAUGGGGACUCUAACGAGACUGCCUACGCAAGUAGAGAGGAAGGUGGGGAUGACGUCAAAUCAUCACGGCCCUUACGUCCUGGGCCACACACGUGCUACAAUGGUAUGGACAAUGAGCAGCCAUCUGGCAACAGAGAGCGAAUCUACAAACCAUAUCACAGUUCGGAUCGGAGUCUGCAACUCGACUCCGUGAGGCUGGAAUCGCUAGUAAUCGGAUAUCAGCCAUGAUCCGGUGAAUACGUUCCCGGGCCUUGUACACACCGC
RNAcentral lists this ribosomal RNA (1361 nucleotides) under uncultured marine bacterium. RNAcentral describes it as "bacterial SSU rRNA". It matches the Rfam family "Bacterial small subunit ribosomal RNA", at positions 29 to 1393 of the family's 1533-position model. The record is from RNAcentral.